Molecule: ribosomal RNA, 465 nt
Filed under: uncultured bacterium
Lineage: Bacteria
Description: partial 16S ribosomal RNA
Rfam family: Bacterial small subunit ribosomal RNA
Source: RNAcentral
CCUACGGGUGGCAGCAGUAGGGAAUCUUCCACAAUGGGCGAAAGCCUGAUGGAGCAACGCCGCGUGGGUGAAGAAGGUCUUCGGAUCGUAAAACUCUGUUGUUAGAGAAGCAAGUGCGUGAGAGUAACUGUUCACGUUUCGACGGUAUCUAACCAGAAAGCCACGGCUACCUACGUGCCAGCAGCCGCGGUAAUACGUAGGUGGCAAGCGUUAUCCGGAUUUAUUGGGCGGAAAGGGAUCGAAGGCGGUCUGUUAAGUCUGAUGUGAAAGCCUUCGGCUUAACCGGGGUAGUGCAUUGGAAACUGGGAGACUUGAGUGCAGAAGAGGAGAGUGGAACUCCAUGUGUAGCGGUGAAAUGCGUAGAUAUAUGGAAGAACACCAGUGGCGAAAGCGGCUCUCUGGUCUGUAACUGACGCUGAGGUUCGAAAGCGUGGGUAGCAAACAGGAUUAGAUACCCCGGUAGUC